CUGUGGAUAUGACCUUGUCUUGUGCUCAUGCUCCUACGAGUGUCGGUACUAUGGCAACUGUUGCCCUGACUAUGAAAGCUUCUGUAUAGCAACAAUUCACCCACCAGAUGAUCCAACAGCACCCUCUUGCAUGUAUAACUGUGGGUACCACCUUGCCUAUUGUUCAUGCUCCAGAGCCUGUCAGUACUUUGGUGACUGU
Molecule: long non-coding RNA, 199 nt
Organism: Sinocyclocheilus anshuiensis
Lineage: Eukaryota; Metazoa; Chordata; Actinopteri; Cypriniformes; Cyprinidae
Exons: 3
Source: RefSeq, a predicted model, not a curated record